UAGACGAUAAGGCAAUGCAAUGAGUCCACUUGGGGUUGAAGUUCCGAUACACAAAGAUGUUCUCUGUUUCGGGUUUAAGUAUGUCUCAGGCAAUAUCUGCACGUACCACUGAUCCUAAAAAAAAAAAAAAAAAAAACCUCCUCGUGUUUAUUUGAAAUGCAAAUAGAACUGGGCGUCUGGACACCCUUUUGCCAGGGGAUCCGGCGAAAAUGCAGAGGGCUCUGCAGCCGGCCUGGCUGGCGACGGCCUAGGCGCUGCGCUCCUGUCGGGCUUGCAGAGCGUCCAGCGACCAAACUUGGAGCAGCUUUCGGGGAAAGUGCUUCUUGCCACCUCGUUCUGAGGGAUUCUCAGCGAUUUUGCCACUGGAGGGAGCGUCCUGUCCUUCACUCCUCCCAGCAUGUAUCAUUUUACUGUCACGAGCAUGCAGACCUCAGGACACACAUAAAUGAUUCCAUGAGAAAGAAAAACUGGGAGAUCUGGAAACCAGCUUUUAGAAAAUGA
Molecule: long non-coding RNA, 501 nt
Filed under: Microcebus murinus (gray mouse lemur)
Lineage: Eukaryota; Metazoa; Chordata; Mammalia; Primates; Cheirogaleidae
Description: lncRNA (ENSMICG00000048680.1)
Source: RNAcentral